UUGGUGUUACUGCGAAGGGGGGACGGAGAAGGCUAUGUUGGCCGGGCGACGGUUGUCCCGGUUUAAGCGUGUAGGUGUGUGUUCCAGGUAAAUCCGGUUCACUUUAACACUGAGGCGUGACGACGAGGCACUACGGUGCUGAAGCAACAAAUGCCCUGCUUCCAGGAAAAGCCUCUAAGCAUCAGGUAACAUCAAAUCGUACCCCAAACCGACACAGGUGGUCAGGUAGAGAAUACCAAGGCGCUUGAGAGAACUCGGGUGAAGGAACUAGGCAAAAUGGUGCCGUAACUUCGGGAGAAGGCACGCUGACACGUAGGUGAAGUGAUUUACUCACGGAGCUGAAGUCAGUCGAAGAUACCAGCUGGCUGCAACUGUUUAUUAAAAACACAGCACUGUGCAAACACGAAAGUGGACGUAUACGGUGUGACGCCUGCCCGGUGCCGGAAGGUUAAUUGAUGGGGUCAGCGCAAGCGAAGCUCCUGAUCGAAGCCCCGGUAAACGGCGGCCGUAACUAUAACGGUCCUAAGGUAGCGAAAUUCCUUGUCGGGUAAGUUCCGACCUGCACGAAUGGCGUAAUGAUGGCCAGGCUGUCUCCACCCGAGACUCAGUGAAAUUGAACUCGCUGUGAAGAUGCAGUGUACCCGCGGCAAGACGGAAAGACCCCGUGAACCUUUACUAUAGCUUGACACUGAACAUUGAGCCUUGAUGUGUAGGAUAGGUGGGAGGCUUUGAAGCGUGGACGCCAGUCUGCGUGGAGCCGACCUUGAAAUACCACCCUUUAAUGUUUGAUGUUCUAACGUGGACCCGUGAUCCGGGUUGCGGACAGUGUCUGGUGGGUAGUUUGACUGGGGCGGUCUCCUCCUAAAGAGUAACGGAGGAGCACGAAGGUUGGCUAAUCCUGGUCGGACAUCAGGAGGUUAGUGCAAUGGCAUAAGCCAGCUUGACUGCGAGCGUGACGGCGCGAGCAGGUGCGAAAGCAGGUCAUAGUGAUCCGGUGGUUCUGAAUGGAAGGGCCAUCGCUCAACGGAUAAAAGGUACUCCGGGGAUAACAGGCUGAUACCGCCCAAGAGUUCAUAUCGACGGCGGUGUUUGGCACCUCGAUGUCGGCUCAUCACAUCCUGGGGCUGAAGUAGGUCCCAAGGGUAUGGCUGUUCGCCAUUUAAAGUGGUACGCGAGCUGGGUUUAGAACGUCGUGAGACAGUUCGGUCCCUAUCUGCCGUGGGCGCUGGAGAACUGAGGGGGGCUGCUCCUAGUACGAGAGGACCGGAGUGGACGCAUCACUGGUGUUCGGGUUGUCAUGCCAAUGGCACUGCCCGGUAGCUAAAUGCGGAAGAGAUAAGUGCUGAAAGCAUCUAAGCACGAAACUUGCCCCGAGAUGAGUUCUCCCUGAGACUUAAAGUCUCCUGAAGGAACGUUGAAGACGACGACGUUGAUAGGCCGGGUGUGUAAGCGCAGCGAUGCGUUGAGCUAACCGGUACUAAUGAACCGUGAGGCUUAACCUUAC
RNAcentral lists this ribosomal RNA (1504 nucleotides) under Salmonella enterica. RNAcentral describes it as "partial 23S ribosomal RNA". It matches the Rfam family "Bacterial large subunit ribosomal RNA", at positions 1445 to 2925 of the family's 2925-position model. The record is from RNAcentral. Lineage: Bacteria; Pseudomonadati; Pseudomonadota; Gammaproteobacteria; Enterobacterales; Enterobacteriaceae.